GACGAACGCUGGCGGCGUGCUUAACACAUGCAAGUCGAACGGAAAGGCCCUGCUUUUGUGGGGUGCUCGAGUGGCGAACGGGUGAGUAACACGUGAGUAACCUGCCCUUGACUUUGGGAUAACUUCAGGAAACUGGGGCUAAUACCGGAUAGGAGCUCCUGCUGCAUGGUGGGGGUUGGAAAGUUUCGGCGGUUGGGGAUGGACUCGCGGCUUAUUAGCUUGUUGGUGGGGUAGUGGCUUACCAAGGCUUUGACGGGUAGCCGGCCUGAGAGGGUGACCGGCCACAUUGGGACUGCGAGACGGCCCAGACUCCUACGGGAGGCAGCAGUGGGGAAUAUUGCACAAUGGGCGGAAGCCUGAUGCAGCAACGCCGCGUGCGGGAUGACGGCCUUCGGGUUGUAAACCGCUUUCGCCUGUGACGAAGCGUGAGUGACGGUAAUGGGUAAAGAAGCACCGGCUAACUACGUG
RNAcentral lists this ribosomal RNA (468 nucleotides) under uncultured bacterium. RNAcentral's name for it is "partial 16S ribosomal RNA". It matches the Rfam family "Bacterial small subunit ribosomal RNA", at positions 28 to 507 of the family's 1533-position model. The record is from RNAcentral.